AGGACGAACGCUAGCGGCAGGCCUAAUACAUGCAAGCCGAACGGUAAUCCUGACGGCAACGUCAGGACUAGAGUGGCGUAAGGGUGCGUAACACGUAUGCAAUUUGCCCUCAACUGGGGGAUAGCUCCCGGAAACGGGAAUUAAUACCCCAUAACAUGCCAGCGAGGCAUCUUGCUGGCAUUAAAGCUACGGCGGUUGAGGAUGAGCAUGCGUCUGAUUAGCUAGUUGGUGAGGUAACGGCUCACCAAGGCGAUGAUCAGUAGGGGAACUGAGAGGUUGAUCCCCCACACUGGCACUGAGACACGGGCCAGACUCCUACGGGAGGCAGCAGUAGGGAAUAUUGGACAAUGGGUGCGAGCCUGAUCCAGCCAUGCCGCGUGCAGGAAGAAGGCCUCCUGGGUUGUAAACUGCUUUUAUCCGGGAAUAAAAAACCCGUGCGCGGGGAACUGAAGGUACCAGAUGAAUAAGCCACGGCUAACUACGUGCCAGCAGCCGCGGUAAUACGUAGGUGGCGAGCGUUGUCCGGAUUCAUUGGGUUUAAAGGGUGCGUAGGCGGCUGAUUAAGUCAGUGCUGAAAGCCCCCGGCUUAACCGGGGAGGUGGCAUUGAUACUGGUCGGCUUGAGUGCUGUCGAGGCAGGCGGAAUUGACGGUGUAGCGGUGAAAUGCUUAGAUAUCGUCAGGAACACCGAUAGUGAAGACAGCUUGCCAGAGAGCAACUGACGCUGAGGCACGAAAGUGUGGGGAGCAAACAGGAUUAGAUACCCUGGUAGUCCACACUGUAAACGAUGAUGACUCGCUGUUGGCGAUAUACGGUCAGCGGCCAAGAGAAAUCGUUAAGUCAUCCACCUGGGGAGUACGCCGGCAACGGUG
RNAcentral lists this ribosomal RNA (871 nucleotides) under bacterium enrichment culture clone D907-11. RNAcentral describes it as "bacterial SSU rRNA". It matches the Rfam family "Bacterial small subunit ribosomal RNA", at positions 26 to 896 of the family's 1533-position model. The record is from RNAcentral.